AAAAUGGAUUUUUUAAAAUCCAUUCAGCCAAUCUCUGGGACUAAAU
This is a non-coding RNA of Danio rerio (zebrafish), 46 nucleotides long. NCBI's taxonomy places the organism in Eukaryota, Metazoa, Chordata, Actinopteri, Cypriniformes, Danionidae. The record is from Rfam.